CUUGACUGUAGCCUGGAAUUGGGUUUGGGCUCUUCUUGCGCAGCCUAGGUGGGAGGCGUUGACAGUUCCCUUCCGGGGGAGCUUGAGCCAUCAGUGAGAGACCACUCUGGAGGAGCUAGAAUUCUAAUGGCGAUCCUUGAAUCAGGACGCUUGACAGUUUCAGGCGGGCAGUUUGACUGGGGCGGUCGCCUCAUAAAAGGUAACUGAGGCGUGCAAAGGUUCCCUCAGGCUGGACGGAAAUCAGCCGUAGAGUGUAAAGGCAGAAGGGAGCUUGACUGCAAGACCUACAAGUCGAGCAGGGGCGAAAGCCGGCCUUAGUGAUCCGACGGUACCGUGUGGAAGGGCCGUCGCUCAACGGAUAAAAGUUA
RNAcentral lists this ribosomal RNA (368 nucleotides) under uncultured organism. RNAcentral describes it as "bacterial LSU rRNA". It matches the Rfam family "Bacterial large subunit ribosomal RNA", at positions 2099 to 2465 of the family's 2925-position model. The record is from RNAcentral.